UCUUUGCAGUUGAGAUAAGAGGAAGGCAUCUGUCUCCUGCUCGUCCCUGGGCAAUGGAAUGUCUCGGUGUAAAACCCGAUUGUAUGUUCCAUCUACUGAGAUGGGGAAAACCGCCUUAGGGCUGGAUGUGGGACAUGCUGGCAGCAAUACUGCUCUUUAAGGCAUUGAGAUGUUUAUGUGUAGCCAUGGACGUUCACAGAGGAUUCAGUACCUUUCUGUCUAGUAGUCGCUUGUGCAUGAAUUUAUUUAUUCUGUUUGGUAUAUGUUGUGCUUCCCAUAACUGUGGUUUCAUUUCUUAGCUUCAAAAAUUCUCAGCUCUUAGGUCUCUAAGCACUUUGGCUCUCCUUUAUUUUCUUUUUUCUUUCCUUCUAGGACUUCAGUCUUUAUUUUAACCCCGUCUUUUAACCUUUUAUAUUUUCCAUUUGCUUAUUCUCUGUAUUGCUUUCUGGA
This 450-nucleotide long non-coding RNA is filed under the name Pan troglodytes (chimpanzee). RNAcentral describes it as "long non-coding RNA NONPTRT000457". Lineage: Eukaryota; Metazoa; Chordata; Mammalia; Primates; Hominidae. The record is from RNAcentral.